RNAcentral lists this ribosomal RNA (2906 nucleotides) under Escherichia coli. Its description in RNAcentral is "23S ribosomal RNA". It matches the Rfam family "Bacterial large subunit ribosomal RNA". Lineage: Bacteria; Pseudomonadati; Pseudomonadota; Gammaproteobacteria; Enterobacterales; Enterobacteriaceae. The record is from RNAcentral.
GGUUAAGCGACUAAGCGUACACGGUGGAUGCCCUGGCAGUCAGAGGCGAUGAAGGACGUGCUAAUCUGCGAUAAGCGUCGGUAAGGUGAUAUGAACCGUUAUAACCGGCGAUUUCCGAAUGGGGAAACCCAGUGUGAUUCGUCACACUAUCAUUAACUGAAUCCAUAGGUUAAUGAGGCGAACCGGGGGAACUGAAACAUCUAAGUACCCCGAGGAAAAGAAAUCAACCGAGAUUCCCCCAGUAGCGGCGAGCGAACGGGGAGCAGCCCAGAGCCUGAAUCAGUGUGUGUGUUAGUGGAAGCGUCUGGAAAGGCGCGCGAUACAGGGUGACAGCCCCGUACACAAAAAUGCACAUGCUGUGAGCUCGAUGAGUAGGGCGGGACACGUGGUAUCCUGUCUGAAUAUGGGGGGACCAUCCUCCAAGGCUAAAUACUCCUGACUGACCGAUAGUGAACCAGUACCGUGAGGGAAAGGCGAAAAGAACCCCGGCGAGGGGAGUGAAAAAGAACCUGAAACCGUGUACGUACAAGCAGUGGGAGCACAGAGCAAUCUGUGUGACUGCGUACCUUUUGUAUAAUGGGUCAGCGACUUAUAUUCUGUAGCAAGGUUAACCGAAUAGGGGAGCCGAAGGGAAACCGAGUCUUAACUGGGCGUUAAGUUGCAGGGUAUAGACCCGAAACCCGGUGAUCUAGCCAUGGGCAGGUUGAAGGUUGGGUAACACUAACUGGAGGACCGAACCGACUAAUGUUGAAAAAUUAGCGGAUGACUUGUGGCUGGGGGUGAAAGGCCAAUCAAACCGGGAGAUAGCUGGUUCUCCCCGAAAGCUAUUUAGGUAGCGCCUCGUGAAUUCAUCUCCGGGGGUAGAGCACUGUUUCGGCAAGGGGGUCAUCCCGACUUACCAACCCGAUGCAAACUGCGAAUACCGGAGAAUGUUAUCACGGGAGACACACGGCGGGUGCUAACGUCCGUCGUGAAGAGGGAAACAACCCAGACCGCCAGCUAAGGUCCCAAAGUCAUGGUUAAGUGGGAAACGAUGUGGGAAGGCCCAGACAGCCAGGAUGUUGGCUUAGAAGCAGCCAUCAUUUAAAGAAAGCGUAAUAGCUCACUGGUCGAGUCGGCCUGCGCGGAAGAUGUAACGGGGCUAAACCAUGCACCGAAGCUGCGGCAGCGACGCUUAUGCGUUGUUGGGUAGGGGAGCGUUCUGUAAGCCUGUGAAGGUGUACUGUGAGGUAUGCUGGAGGUAUCAGAAGUGCGAAUGCUGACAUAAGUAACGAUAAAGCGGGUGAAAAGCCCGCUCGCCGGAAGACCAAGGGUUCCUGUCCAACGUUAAUCGGGGCAGGGUGAGUCGACCCCUAAGGCGAGGCCGAAAGGCGUAGUCGAUGGGAAACAGGUUAAUAUUCCUGUACUUGGUGUUACUGCGAAGGGGGGACGGAGAAGGCUAUGUUGGCCGGGCGACGGUUGUCCCGGUUUAAGCGUGUAGGCUGGUUUUCCAGGCAAAUCCGGAAAAUCAAGGCUGAGGCGUGAUGACGAGGCACUACGGUGCUGAAGCAACAAAUGCCCUGCUUCCAGGAAAAGCCUCUAAGCAUCAGGUAACAUCAAAUCGUACCCCAAACCGACACAGGUGGUCAGGUAGAGAAUACCAAGGCGCUUGAGAGAACUCGGGUGAAGGAACUAGGCAAAAUGGUGCCGUAACUUCGGGAGAAGGCACGCUGAUAUGUAGGUGAAGUCCCUCGCGGAUGGAGCUGAAAUCAGUCGAAGAUACCAGCUGGCUGCAACUGUUUAUUAAAAACACAGCACUGUGCAAACACGAAAGUGGACGUAUACGGUGUGACGCCUGCCCGGUGCCGGAAGGUUAAUUGAUGGGGUUAGCGCAAGCGAAGCUCUUGAUCGAAGCCCCGGUAAACGGCGGCCGUAACUAUAACGGUCCUAAGGUAGCGAAAUUCCUUGUCGGGUAAGUUCCGACCUGCACGAAUGGCGUAAUGAUGGCCAGGCUGUCUCCACCCGAGACUCAGUGAAAUUGAACUCGCUGUGAAGAUGCAGUGUACCCGCGGCAAGACGGAAAGACCCCGUGAACCUUUACUAUAGCUUGACACUGAACAUUGAGCCUUGAUGUGUAGGAUAGGUGGGAGGCUUUGAAGUGUGGACGCCAGUCUGCAUGGAGCCGACCUUGAAAUACCACCCUUUAAUGUUUGAUGUUCUAACGUUGACCCGUAAUCCGGGUUGCGGACAGUGUCUGGUGGGUAGUUUGACUGGGGCGGUCUCCUCCUAAAGAGUAACGGAGGAGCACGAAGGUUGGCUAAUCCUGGUCGGACAUCAGGAGGUUAGUGCAAUGGCAUAAGCCAGCUUGACUGCGAGCGUGACGGCGCGAGCAGGUGCGAAAGCAGGUCAUAGUGAUCCGGUGGUUCUGAAUGGAAGGGCCAUCGCUCAACGGAUAAAAGGUACUCCGGGGAUAACAGGCUGAUACCGCCCAAGAGUUCAUAUCGACGGCGGUGUUUGGCACCUCGAUGUCGGCUCAUCACAUCCUGGGGCUGAAGUAGGUCCCAAGGGUAUGGCUGUUCGCCAUUUAAAGUGGUACGCGAGCUGGGUUUAGAACGUCGUGAGACAGUUCGGUCCCUAUCUGCCGUGGGCGCUGGAGAAUUGAGGGGGGCUGCUCCUAGUACGAGAGGACCGGAGUGGACGCAUCACUGGUGUUCGGGUUGUCAUGCCAAUGGCACUGCCCGGUAGCUAAAUGCGGAAGAGAUAAGUGCUGAAAGCAUCUAAGCACGAAACUUGCCCCGAGAUGAGUUCUCCCUGACCCUUUAAGGGUCCUGAAGGAACGUUGAAGACGACGACGUUGAUAGGCCGGGUGUGUAAGCGCAGCGAUGCGUUGAGCUAACCGGUACUAAUGAACCGUGAGGCUUAACCUU